CAUCCCCUUUUACCGAGCGCAGCCACACAUGCCUAGGAGGUGGUCUAGGCGAAGUCGUCGCGCCGGGAGCCUGCCUAGGCCGGAUCGAUCCCUGCCGGUGGCCAUGGACAAGCUCGGCGCGAACCCGGCUAACUCCAGCCCGCUCACGCCGCUGGGCUUCCUGGAGAGCGCCGCCACCGUGUACGGCGACUGCCCCUCCGUCGUCUACCACGGCACCGUCUUCACCUAGUCCCAGACCUACCGCCGCUGCCUCCGCCUCGCCUCCGCCCUCGUCUCCCUCGGCGUCUCCCGCCGCGACGUCGGAUACGAGGCGCACUUCGGGGUGCCGAUGAGCGGCGCCGUGCUCAACAGCAUCAACACGCGCCUCGACGCGCGCACCGUCUCCGUCCUGCUCCGCCACUCCGGCUCCAAGCUCAUCCUCGUUGACCCUGCUCUGCUCCCGGUCCUCCACGACGCGCUCCGCCUCCUCCCGCCGGGCCACCCGGCCCCGCGCAUCGUGCUCGUCGAGGACCCCCCACGAGAAGGAGUUCCCUCCGGCGCCAGCGGCGGCUCUGCAUACGAGAGGCUCCUGGAGACGGGACCCGAGCAAUCUCAGGACACAACCGCCUAGGUGACCAUGGCCACCGGCGCGUCGCGACGACGAGCGCCCUGAAUCUCAGCUCCCACGCACGCUCCGUCGGCGGCAGCGGCGACAGGAGGGGCCGGACCUGUGUGGACGUUGUGAGGAGGAGAGGAGAAUCGCGGGUCAACGAGGAGAAACACGGGAGCCUGGCCGAAGCAGCCGUCGGAGGCCGCUCCGCUCAUGACUGGCGGCGACUUCGCCGCCGGAGCCGCUGCGCUCGCGCCGUAUGCCGCACCUGGCCACUCCACUGGUGUCGGUGUCGUCUGUGGGGGAGGGUGAGAACGAGGAGGAGGCCGCCUUCACGCUCUGCAUCGAGCUAGCUGGUACUCCUUCUGUGAGCUAGCUGGUACUGCAUUAGGAGUACUACUCCUGCUAAAUGAACCACGGAGUAUUCUGUGAAUAUUGCAAUUGCUACUGCCACUACACUUCCUAACUGAAUAUAACUGAAUUAAAUGUCAAUGACUCAAUGUGCCCAAGCUUGUGUAUCUCGAUUACUGGAUCAGAUGAUGAAAUGUGAAAAAGUAUGGUGAACGGCAUGGUGCAGUCUUUGGCCUUUCUGGAGCAGUUAAAGGAUUUAGAAUUGCUAGUGUGGUGCAUUAAUUCUUUGGCCUUGCUUUUCACUGAAGAAGUAUGGUAUUGCUGCAACCUUACAACAAGCUUUGGGAGACAGGUCCUACUACUGAUGUUGGAGAUCAGAGGUAGCUGCGGUGGUGCUUGCUGGAGAUCAGAGCGAGAUGCGCUGCUGGGAAUCGGCGAGAUGGCGAUGCACAUCCGGGAAGUUGGGUACGAGCUGCUGGGAGCCGGCGAGAAGGCGAUGCGCAGCUGGGAGGUUGGCCGGGGCGGUGGAGUUUAGCAGUUGGGGGCGCCUUCGGUGAUGCAACGGCGGCGGCGUUCGAGGGCAGGGAUCCGACGAGUUGAUGGGGCGGCGGCGUUCUGCUCGCCGUGGCCGGCGACAACGGUUGGGCGGCGCAUCUAGAGGCCCAGCGGCCCGCGUGCUAGGGCGGCGGCGCUCUGACGCUUGGCCGGCGGGGAGUAGGCCGCGGUGACCAGAGGCUCGACGCGAUGGGGCUCCAAGCCGGUGCAGUCCAGCGUUUUUGUUCCCAUGAUUAGGUACUGGGUGAUUGAUUAGCUAAUGGGUUUGCUGUAUCAUGCGUGGGGCGCCGGCUCACUCGAUUUGGGCCGCCUCUUGGAGAUGGAUGCUCGAUGGCGUCGAUGUGCUGCAGCGGGUGGGGGAGAAGAAUGCGCAAACGGACGUUAGGGACUGUUAGCCGAUCCAACGGUGUUGAUAUGCAUCCAACGGUGUUGAACGCGUGCUCACGUAUACACUCAGUCACCAAAUCCACUCUCCAGCCAAUGAGAACCUGACCAGAAAAUAAAACGACAAUGCAUUGCACCUUGUGCAUACAUUUUCGCUGUUGACAGUUCACCUCACGGAAAGAAGAAGCAAACCAAGGAAUUGUUUCCCCCAAAUGAGCCAUCGCCUUUGAUCAGGUAAAAAGGGAAAAACAACUGCAGAAUCAGCUGGAUGGUCUAUAGUAAAAUAGCUAUCAAUGGUGCUAAGUAAUUUCCUUUGCAAUAGAAACGGCGUCACCAACUGCCACCUAUCCUGAAGACCCACCUAUAGAAUUUUGUGUUUUGUCUGCUGCCGUAGUCACUGCAUCGUUGAGAUUGUCAUGUCAGCUAUUAUGUUAAUAUGUUAUCCACCUUAUCUGUCCUUAUGCAAAGAACUUCCUGCCAGUCCUAUACAAGACUACCAGCUACUGCAAUGUUAAGUCCCUGUCAUGAUGCGUCGAUGCACUU
Molecule: non-coding RNA, 2422 nt
Organism: Lolium perenne
Lineage: Eukaryota; Viridiplantae; Streptophyta; Magnoliopsida; Poales; Poaceae
Source: RefSeq, a predicted model, not a curated record